GAGUGUGCAGCUUUGUGGCCAUAGUUUUGCAAAAACUAAUGAGAAUUAUUUUAUUAUUCCACACUCU
RNAcentral lists this transfer RNA (67 nucleotides) under Acanthobothrium sp. MZUSP 7998. RNAcentral describes it as "tRNA-Cys". Lineage: Eukaryota; Metazoa; Platyhelminthes; Cestoda; Tetraphyllidea; Onchobothriidae. The record is from RNAcentral.